Molecule: long non-coding RNA, 3072 nt
Organism: Helianthus annuus (common sunflower)
Lineage: Eukaryota; Viridiplantae; Streptophyta; Magnoliopsida; Asterales; Asteraceae
Exons: 4
Source: RefSeq, a predicted model, not a curated record
UACCCGUCUAUGAGCUCUCUUAAUAAGACUUAUGGGUAAUAUAUAUAUAUAUAUUUAUAUAUAUACACACAUAUUUAAAAAUAUAAAAGAAAUUAUAUCCGGUAUACAAUCGGAUAAACGGGUACACUGUACACUUUAUCAGGUAAUCGGGUCUGGUAAACAUGUAUAUCACCAAAUCCCAAACCCGCGAAAACAUAAAAACCCGUCCCAAACCCUGUUAGCCGACCCCAAACCCGUCCCAAAUGUGUCAGAUUUCGGGUUUACCCAUCAGGUUCGGGUUCGAUUGCCAUCCCUAAUGAGGUUAGCUGCAUUUGUAACAAUAGGUUUUGUUGUUUGGAUAUAUAGUAUACAUGUUUAUUAAGCCAUGAAACCUUUAUGGUUCUUCAAAAGCCAGUUUUGGAUAUCAGUGCAAUUGCUAGUAAUUUGUCCAAAGAAUUAUCUUGUUUUGCCUUUUGGGUAGAGGUGGCCAAAUGGUUGGGUCGCUUGGGCUGAGCAAUGGGUCGAAUCGGUCAAGUUUUAAGUUCAGGUCAUAACGGGGGUAGGCCAACCUACGUAUGGCUUUCAAGAAAAGCAUUGUAAGUGGUUUUUAUAAAAUUGAGUACACUUCCUAUGGCUUUCAGUUUGUUUGACCUGUUUGACCCAUUUGACCUGUUUUCUUUUUAGUUAAGCCCUUUAGUCUUUAGCUUAAUCCAUUUGACAUGUCAGAUGUAAGACAUGUAUGGUUUGACUUGAAAUCCGGGCCGCCCAUUUUGCCGAUUCUACUUGUUUUUCUUCCAUCGUGGCUUUUUAAAGUGUUCCUGUAUGUUGGUUUAAAUCUGUAACGGUCCUCAGCCCCCUGGAGCUGGUGCUGACUGAAGCUGAAAAAGAUUAUGCAGUAAAUGCUAUGAAGCACAUAUUCGACAAACAUGUCGUGAAAUACGGUACUGGAUAAGUAAUCUCAUCUAAGAGAAAUCUUCUUUUCUAGUACUUCUUUAUAUAUUAAAAUAAUUUAAAAAAUCUCUCACUUUAAUCAUGGAUGCUUGUUUAAGUCAUUGUGGUUAUAGAUGCUUCUGAAGCGGAAUAAUUUGCUGAGGUGGCCACGAAGCCACUGAAAGCCCUUUCAUAUGAUACAUCUGGUCGAAGUUUAUGGCAUUUGAAUAUCCAUAAGGGGUCCCAGCUUAGCUGCUGGUGGAUUUUUUAACGUGUUGAAGGUUGUUAUCGUCAAAGAGAUGCUUCUGAAGCGGAACAAAGUCAUCGAAUGCCCUUCCAUAUGAUACAUCCGGUCAAACCAUUUGGCAUUUGAGAAACCAUAAGGGGCCCCACCUCAGCUGUUGGCAGAUUUUCUAACGCCUUGAAGUUUAUCGUCGAAGAGGUCCCUAAACUCAUAUGAAAAACAAAAUGCAAUCAUCAGCCCCAAACUGUCCUCAGCCCCCUGGAGCUAACGGAAACUGAAACAGAUUAUGCAAUAAUUCUAUGACACACAUAUUCGACAAACUUGUCUCGAAAUACAGUACUGGGGCAAUUACUGACUUACUGGAUAUGUAAGUUUAUCUUAGAGAAAACCGCUUUUCUGGUAGUUUAUGUAUUAAAAUAAGUAAAAAAAUUCUCACCUUCAUCAUGGAUGCUUGUUUAGGUCAUAUAGUUGUUAUAGAUGCUUUUGAAGCGGAAGAAUUUGCUGAGGUGGCAACGAAGCCACUGAAAGCCCUUCCAUAUGACACACCUGGUUGAAGUUUAUGGCAUUUGAGUACCCCAUAAGGGGUAAUAACUUCUCAUCUCAUAUUCUCAUGUUAUAACAAAGUACUAUAUAGUUGGCAACUUUGACCUAUUUACUUUAGAAUCUCAUGUUAUAACAAAGUACCAAGGUUUCUAUUUUAUUGCGGUUUUGGUCCACCACACUAACUCCAUCUAACUUAUAGUUAAAUCCUGGUCACAUGAGAUGCAUAUAUGGGUAGGGUAUUUUGGAAAAGAGUAAAUUACGUUUUUGGCCCCUGUGGUUAUAUCAGUUUUACUAUAUUGGCCCAAAAUAAGAUUUUUUAACAGAUUUGCCCCCAUGGUCCCUGUAACCAUGGUUGUAAAACAAGGUUUCCAAGGCCGAGUACUCCCCGAGUAGUCGCUACAAGGUAGGCUGCCGAGGCGACUUUCUUUGACUCUGCCUAAUUACUCGAAAUUGGUCAAACGUGGUCAACCUCAGCCAAAAUAGUAUCUAGUAGGUCAACUCGGGCCGAGUUUAUCUUAAAAAAUAAUAAAACAUAAUUUCUAUGCCUAUCAUAUUAGAGAAUUAAUAUCAUUUUCACGUUUUUUGUUCUAUAUAUUAGUAAAUUUAUGUUAUUUGUCAUAUAUAUAAUUUCCAAAAACUAAUUUCUUUAUAAUUUAACAUGUCCGAGUACUCCCCGAGUACUCUCCGCCUAGGCCGAGUACUCUCAACUCCCCGGUCGACCGACUAGGGGGUGCGUAGCGACUUUUGCAACCAUGCCUGUAACUAACCGUUUUGGCCCCUAAAUCUAACCAAACCCUAACUCAGGUUAAUUUAUUGGCCACAUGUUUAUCACAUGAUGUCUAAUUUGGUAAUUUUACCUCCCCCUAAUAUGUCUCUAUAAAUAAAACCCUACACCCCUAUUUUUUCACUUCAUCUUCUUCACUAAAUCAUCUUCUUCUUCGACAGUUCAUUCAAACCUCCCAUGUUUGUAAAAUCACAGAUGAGAUCGAGCAGAAAAGGAAAGAACUCCGGUUAUACCUCAACGCCGAGAAGUCACUGGAGAAGAAUGACCGGUGGAUAUCGACUCCAUUCAAACAUCCAGCGACGAUUGACAGAGCGAUAAUCGAUUCCGAUCUCAAAAACAAAGUCAGCGAUGAUUGGUUCCGAUCAGGUCAGGUGUGUGUGGCGCGAUGGUUGUUGGAUUUGGUGGGUCAGACGGAUUUGGGUGUGUAUGGUGGUGGUUUAACGAAUUUGAAUUACUGAAUCUGAAUCACCCAGAUCUGUUAAUGUUUGAUUCGAAUCGGAUUUGGUGGGUUUCAUUACAAACACUGAAUUUAGAAUUUGCUAAUGUUUGAUUCAGUUCUGAUUGAAGUUUAUUAAAAGCAAAGCAAAACCCA